This 625-nucleotide long non-coding RNA is filed under the name Dasypus novemcinctus (nine-banded armadillo). RNAcentral describes it as "lncRNA (ENSDNOG00000051367.1)". The record is from RNAcentral. Lineage: Eukaryota; Metazoa; Chordata; Mammalia; Cingulata; Dasypodidae.
GGGAGGCGGCGCGAGGUCGUACGCGGCUGGCGCGCGCACGCAGGAGGCGUGGCUGCGCGACGCGGCGUCGUCGUAGGCGCCGCUCUUGUUCGGCUCCGGUCUUCACAGCUCCCGCGGAAGGGUGGCGCUGGGACUCUCGCCCUCGGGAGCAGACCGCACGGUCUCGGAUUGCAGACCUGUGGAUGCUAUUGGCGGGCACUUCGGAUAGCCGCUGAUUUCCUCGGAUGGUGUGGCCUGCGUCCGACAGUCCCAUCAGCUCUUCCCAGCUCUACUGAGGUCGCGGCUGUCUGCUCCCCUGCUCCUCGGCAUUUGCCCGGAACGGCCUGGCCCUGCCUCGCCCCCGCCUGGCCCAUCUCUAUCCUGUGUGUCCCGCACCUGGCCACUUCUGCCCAUAUCGUCUCUUCUCCCACUCUCCUUCCUUCCUUCUCCUAGCUGGUGUGUAAACCCUCCAGCUCCCAGCAUGCUUGUGGCUGGCACCAGCAGCAGGGCCCUCAUCACCCUGUCCAGGCAGCCACCAGUUACGCCAAUACCUGGCCCUAGCAGCAGAUGGACCGACCCUCGGCUGGGAUCAUGCACACCCGCCUGGUAGACCCCUGGAUUGCGUGGCCCUGCUGUGGGGACCCUG